GAGAUUUGGGAGUGCUCGAAAGAGACCUGCACGCAGGUGCUGCAUGGCUGUCGUCAGCUCGUGUCGUGAGAUGUUGGGUUAAGUCCCGCAACGAGCGCAACCCUUGCCAUUAGUUGCUACGAAAGGGCACUCUAAUGGGACUGCCGGUGACAAACCGGAGGAAGGUGGGGAUGACGUCAAGUCCUCAUGGCCCUUAUAGGUGGGGCUACACACGUCAUACAAUGGCCGGUACAGAGGGUAGCCAACCCGCGAGGGGGAGCCAAUCCCACAAAGCCGGUCGUAGUCCGGAUCGCAGUCUGCAACUCGACUGCGUGAAGUCGGAAUCGCUAGUAAUCGCGGAUCAGCAUGUCGCGGUGAAUACGUUCCCGGGUCUU
Molecule: ribosomal RNA, 374 nt
Filed under: uncultured Allobrachymonas sp.
Lineage: Bacteria; Pseudomonadati; Pseudomonadota; Betaproteobacteria; Burkholderiales; Comamonadaceae
Description: bacterial SSU rRNA
Rfam family: Bacterial small subunit ribosomal RNA
Source: RNAcentral